Molecule: long non-coding RNA, 1269 nt
Organism: Mustela lutreola (European mink)
Lineage: Eukaryota; Metazoa; Chordata; Mammalia; Carnivora; Mustelidae
Exons: 3
Source: RefSeq, a predicted model, not a curated record
AGCUAAAUGUCCACUGCCUGAAGAAGCUCCUUCUGUCAAUAAUUAAGGGAAAUUCUGCCUCUGGAAGAACUGCCAUGGCAAAAGGGAUAGAGUAGCCUCUAUUAACACAGUAGUAUUUUACUGGUGGUAACUUUUAAUAGAUGUUCCUUCACGUUACCACAGAGAGGGGACUCUAGAAGUAAAAGAGGGAUGAAAAUGUGACACAUAAGAAAUCAGUGGGAACCAAUAUUUAUGCAUCUAUUUGACCAAGAAAGAUAAAGUACUCAAACAUGUUCUCCGAUGCAGUAAUGUAAGUGCCAAUUAUUAAAUUGAGAUUUUUUUCAUCACUACACUGGCUGCCUCAUACACAUAAUGUGAUGCUGCAAAAUGAGAAAACUGACAAGCGAGUAGAACAGACAUAAUUGCUUGAAAUUUAACUUCAGAAAGCAGAAAAAUUUCCCCAAACUUCAAAAAUGUCGACUUCUUUUGGUACAUCAUUUGUUGUUAUACUUGCUUUGUUUUGUUUGAAAAAAGUAAUGUGUUUUAUUUGUGCCAGUAUCAUUUUUUUCUGCCAUUGCAGUGUGCACAUCCAGACAGAUGCAAACACCUUUCAGUAAGGCUAUUUUAACCACUCCAAAAAAAAAAAAAAAAACGGAUCUUUCUCUGAUAACACCAUACUACUAAUAACUAAUGCCACUGAUGUGGUCAUCAGACAACAUUGCUUUAUGUUAUUUAUUUUAUGUUAGUUUAUUAUAUGGAUUCCUUUUAUUAUUAUUUACCCUUUGUGUUGUUAUUUAACAUUCUGUUAUUUUUUUUAUAUAGAAGUGUGUUAUAUUUAUAUUUCAAGCAUUCAGGGAAAGUCUUGAUGACCAGAGGGGUUGUUUAUGAUGAAGAACUUAGGGCUUACAGUGGAUAUAAUUUCUCUAAAGUUUGCUUAGAUCUGAAUACAAUCCCUAAUUCUUAAUGCUUUGCUCUCUCUCUUCAAUGCAUUUAAAAUUGUUAAAAUAAUUUUUAAUGUUGAAUUAUGUGCCUCCAUCUGAUUGUAAACUCCAUAAAGUUACAGAUUUUGUUUUCUACAUAUUAAUUAUCAUAACCUAGUAAUUAGCAUAACAUUUGAUACAAAGCAGGCAAUAAGUAUAUAUUUUUUUCAAAUAAAUGUAUAAAUGAUGGGAAAAUAAGGGGCAAAACUAUAAGGAACUAAUGCAAAAGAUAAGAAAUAAAACAAAUGUCAUAGAAUACAGAUGAGAUAAAGUUUGUCUUUAUGUCUAUCUUAGUGGAAUGUGAUAAUAA